This is a non-coding RNA of Ignavibacteria bacterium 13_1_40CM_2_61_4, 122 nucleotides long. Lineage: Bacteria; Pseudomonadati; Ignavibacteriota; Ignavibacteria. The record is from Rfam.
CAGGGUAUUGAGCCGCGAAAUAAACUCAGUUCGGGAUGCCGACCCUUUAAUGGAGUGGGGAAAGCCAUAAUCGUUAUGCCGUACUGGCCAGGCAUGGCGGUAUCCCGCGAGGUCAGAGACCC